Molecule: ribosomal RNA, 1029 nt
Filed under: bacterium
Lineage: Bacteria
Description: bacterial SSU rRNA
Rfam family: Bacterial small subunit ribosomal RNA
Source: RNAcentral
UGCAGUCGAGCGACAGAUAAGGAGCUUGCUCCUUUGACGUUAGCGGCGGACGGGUGAGUAACACGUGGAUAACCUACCUAUAAGACUGGGAUAACUUCGGGAAACCGGAGCUAAUACCGGAUAACAUAUUGAACCGCAUGGUUCAAUAGUGAAAGGCGGCUUUGCUGUCACUUAUAGAUGGAUCCGCGCCGUAUUAGCUAGUUGGUAAGGUAACGGCUUACCAAGGCAACGAUACGUAGCCGACCUGAGAGGGUGAUCGGCCACACUGGAACUGAGACACGGUCCAGACUCCUACGGGAGGCAGCAGUAGGGAAUCUUCCGCAAUGGGCGAAAGCCUGACGGAGCAACGCCGCGUGAGUGAUGAAGGUCUUCGGAUCGUAAAACUCUGUUAUCAGGGAAGAACAAAUGUGUAAGUAACUGUGCACAUCUUGACGGUACCUGAUCAGAAAGCCACGGCUAACUACGUGCCAGCAGCCGCGGUAAUACGUAGGUGGCAAGCGUUAUCCGGAAUUAUUGGGCGUAAAGCGCGCGUAGGCGGUUUUUUAAGUCUGAUGUGAAAGCCCACGGCUCAACCGUGGAGGGUCAUUGGAAACUGGAAAACUUGAGUGCAGAAGAGGAAAGUGGAAUUCCAUGUGUAGCGGUGAAAUGCGCAGAGAUAUGGAGGAACACCAGUGGCGAAGGCGACUUUCUGGUCUGUAACUGACGCUGAUGUGCGAAAGCGUGGGGAUCAAACAGGAUUAGAUACCCUGGUAGUCCACGCCGUAAACGAUGAGUGCUAAGUGUUAAGGGGGUUUCCGCCCCUUAGUGCUGCAGCUAACGCAUUAAGCACUCCGCCUGGGGGAGUACGACCGCAAGGUUGAAACUCAAAGGAAUUGACGGGGACCCGCACAAGCGGUGGAGCAUGGUGGUUUAAUUCGAAGCAACGCGAAGAACCUUACCAAAUCUUGACAUCCUUUUGACCGCUCUAGAAGAUAGAGUCUUCCCCUUCGGGGGACAAAGUGACAGGUGGGGGCAGGGUUGUCGUCAGCU